Molecule: non-coding RNA, 2249 nt
Organism: Oryctolagus cuniculus (rabbit)
Lineage: Eukaryota; Metazoa; Chordata; Mammalia; Lagomorpha; Leporidae
Source: RefSeq, a predicted model, not a curated record
CGUUCUGAUGCUCGGAGGCCCACAGAGCAGCAGGCCUGGAGGAGGGCAGUAGCCCAGUGUAUUUGACAUAGUCAAAUACAGUAGUCCCCUCCUUCAGAGGACAAGGCGGGACAAAACGAUCCUUAUUGGGAGAUUUCCAGGAGACAGAGAGUAAGAAACAGCACGGGGAGCAGUGAUAAGAAGCUUGACAGCUGAGUCUUUGGAACCAAGGUCACUGAUUUUCCUACCAAGGAUGCCAAGGUGUCUGCAGUGAAUGGGAGGUUGUGCAGUCAAUCAACCCUGGGUACCAUCUGGAGCAUUGCCCAUGGCAAAAGGGCAGGCUCUGAGCUUGCCAGCCUCAGGGCAGGCAGGAAGCAGGUGGAUGGACAACUGAACACCAGAGGCCAGCAGACACCACAGGUGGAUAUCCCAGAGCCUGCAGGCACUCAGAGCCCUCUCCUCCUCCACCGCCAAGGGUCAGAUGGAAGAAAGCUGAGGUUUAGCUGCAAAGAACAAUUAGCCAAUGAAGAGAGGUUGCACAAGGAGAGAAGACGCCACCGGGAGACAUGCACACAGGAUGUCAGAGCACCCAGGAAGUGCGAGCUCCGGGGGUGAGACCUGCCAGACCCCAGAAACAUGGGCAGAUCUGAAAGAUCUAGGAAGCCAGGAAGCUGGUGGAGGACCUAUGUGUGGACAGCCCCGCACUGAGGCUGCUCCUGUGCUAAGGAGCCUGGGAAAGCUCUCAAGAGACAGCACCAUGGGGAAAGGAGUCUCCUCCCGCCACACACCUCUGUUCAUCUCCAGCUUCUCAUCUCAGUCUCCGCAAAUCUUAAUCUCUACUCAUCUCACUCUCUACUAAUCACCCUUCCUACGUUUCCCGUUCUGGGCAUGUCAAGCUAAUAGUUGGUACACCGUUGUUGCAGGAGAUAUUCCUGAACUCAGCAAAGUCAGCUCUGACUGCUUGUGACUCCAGUGAACAUCCUGGUCGCGCUGACUGGUGUUUUAUGAAGUCGGCCUGUGUCUUACUAGCGCUUUCAAGACCAUGAGGUGACACAACGUGGGGUCCGUCUGUGAAACUGAAGUGACUCAGCGCCUCUUUCAGAUGCAUCCGCUGAAAGAGAAAUACGAGUGGGCGAAGUGUAACUCACCUUACCUUAAAAAAAAAGAAGCAGCAGAAAAAAAAGCCCUCUACGCCUCAGGCACAAAUAACAGACAGUAAAAUAGCAAACACGGUGAGUUGCUGGGACUGGGUUUUUGCUGCAGUGCGGAUGGAGACCCGCUUACACCUCGUAAAGAGGCGCUGGGGGCUGGGACCUAUAGGAAAUGGUAAACAGGAGGGUAGAACAGAAGAACAGAAGGGGAAGGACAGCUGUUCGUGGAAUCAGUUUUGUGAUCGGGAGCAUGUAGCUUGGGGGAGACAUUGUGCACACUGUACUAACCCUCUUCUUGGAACGCCCCACAUUCCAUGUAGGAGAGCUGGUUCAAGUCCCAGCUCCUCUGCUUCCUACCAGUGCAUCCUGGGAGGCUCGAGCGCCCUGGACCCCUGCCACCCACUGGGGAGUCCCAGCUGGAGUUCCUGGCCCCUGUAUUCAGCCUGGCUCAGCCCUGGCUGUUGCACGCGUUUGGGAAGUGAGCCAGUGGCUGAACGAUAUCUCACUCUCUCAGUCUUUGAAGUAGAUAAAGAAUGAGUAAAUAAUGUUAAAUGAUAUCUCUGGAAAAAUAAAAAUAUGUAGAUUAAUUGCAAAGACUAGCUUUCUGGAGCUGGCUAAAGCUUUAUGGGUGUGUGUGCACACACACAUAUCGUUCCACCUGCUAGGACAGUGGUGGGUGCUAGGUAAGCUGUUAGACAAAUUAGAGGGGGAGGAGGAAUAUUUGAUGCAUAUUCAGCUUCACACUUUCCUGGGGCAGCUGGUCAAGCUGUGGCUUGGAUGCCAGUAUCCCGUAUCAGAGUGCCUGGUUCAAGUCCUGGCUACUGAGCGCGUCUGAUCCAGCUCCCUGCUAAAGCCUCCGGGACGGCAGCCAGAGAUGGCCCACGUGGGCGACUCGGAAGAAGCUCCUGGCUCCUGGCUUCAGCCUGGCCAACCCGGGCUGUUUGGGUCACUGUCUGUCUCUCUGCCUUUCAGAGAAAUAAAUCUUCUUAUUGAAAUCUAUCACGCGGCACGGUUCUGACUCCUCCGCGAGUCUUCCCGUCGGGGACCGUAUUUAGCACAAAUGCACCCCCGUGUUUCCAUGCAGCUGGAGAGUCCUGCUGUUUCGCACCUUUCCAGCUU